RNAcentral lists this ribosomal RNA (223 nucleotides) under uncultured Acinetobacter sp. RNAcentral's name for it is "partial 16S ribosomal RNA". It matches the Rfam family "Bacterial small subunit ribosomal RNA", at positions 426 to 640 of the family's 1533-position model. The record is from RNAcentral. Lineage: Bacteria; Pseudomonadati; Pseudomonadota; Gammaproteobacteria; Moraxellales; Moraxellaceae.
ACGGGGNGUUUAAGCGAGGAGGAGGCUACUUUAGUUAAUACCUAGAGAUAGUGGACGUUACUCGCAGAAUAAGCACCGGCUAACUCUGUGCCAGCAGCCGCGGUAAUACAGAGGGUGCAAGCGUUAAUCGGAUUUACUGGGCGUAAAGCGCGCGUAGGCGGCUAAUUAAGUCAAAUGUGAAAUUCCCCGAGCUUAAACUUGGGAAUUGCAUUCGAUACUGUAG